RNAcentral lists this small nucleolar RNA (132 nucleotides) under Chinchilla lanigera (long-tailed chinchilla). Its description in RNAcentral is "Small nucleolar RNA SNORA13 (ENSCLAG00000020175.1)". It matches the Rfam family "Small nucleolar RNA SNORA13". Rfam says of the family: ACA13 is a member of the H/ACA class of snoRNA that guide the sites of modification of uridines to pseudouridines. The record is from Rfam by way of RNAcentral. Lineage: Eukaryota; Metazoa; Chordata; Mammalia; Rodentia; Chinchillidae.
AGCCUUUGUGUUGCCCGUUCACUUUGGAAACUAGUGAACGUGGUGUCAAGAAAGGCAUAAAGCAAUGCUCUGCAGCUUUUUCCUGCCCUUAUAUGUGGUGUAUUUGGUGUAGGAGCUGCAGAAGUGACAGCU